This 736-nucleotide long non-coding RNA is filed under the name Heterocephalus glaber (naked mole-rat). RNAcentral describes it as "lncRNA (ENSHGLG00100038962.1)". Lineage: Eukaryota; Metazoa; Chordata; Mammalia; Rodentia; Bathyergidae. The record is from RNAcentral.
GCUUGAAACAGCAUGCAUCUGUUACCUCACCAGGCUAUAUAUGAGAAAUUCAGUAGGUUCAGUUGGUUUCUCUGCUUGAGUCUCACAAGCUUGAAAUCAAGGCAUUGUCUGGGCUGCUGUCCCUUCCAGGGGCUCCAGGGAAGAAUCCAUUUCCAGUUCACCCAGGUGGUUGGCAGAACUCAAUAUGUACUCAGGUCUCUCCUCUGUGACCCUAAACCCUUCCAAGCAGCUUCCAGUGUAUCAGAAAGAAGUCAUGGCUGCCUACAGAGGGAAGAGGCACUCAGAAGCUCCCCCCUCACAUCUCUGCUGUUGCUGACAAUGCCUUUCAGGUUAAGCUUCACAGUCAAUGCCAACCAAAAUAGAAGUGUGACAGAUAACUGAGCUCCAACAUAUAUUCAUAGGUUCAGCAUCAACUAAGCCAGACUCUUUGAACCUGACUGAUCUUGACUUUUUUCAUCUUUCUUCCAAAUAAUAUUUUAUAACCAAAUCUGAAAACAGGUGUGGUUGUUGCUUAUCAAAACAAGAAUAGUAUGAAUCAGGAGAUGGAAGACUUGCCACAUUAUAGAAUUCUGCUAAGAACUUAAUCAGCUAUACUACUCUUACAUGCAUCUCAAGAGAUUUUACAAAAUUCAAUCAGGGAAGUGAAUCCUAUCUUGGAAACAUUUUCAAAUACCAAAACCCUGAGAAAUGACAACUUAUAUUUUAUUACAUUUUACUGAUUUGCUAUACUUUCUCC